CCCGGCGACCGGCGCACGGGUGAGUAACACGUAUGGAACCUGCCCGCAGCAGGGGGAUAAGCGGAAGAAAUUCCGUCUAAUACCGCGUAACACCGCGGAGGGGCAUCCCUCGGCGGUUAAAGAUUCAUCGGCUGCGGAUGGCCAUGCGGCGCAUUAGCUAGUCGGCGGGGUAACGGCCCACCGAGGCGACGAUGCGUAGGGGUUCUGAGAGGAAGGUCCCCCACACUGGUACUGAGACACGGACCAGACUCCUACGGAAGGCAGCAG
RNAcentral lists this ribosomal RNA (267 nucleotides) under uncultured bacterium. RNAcentral's name for it is "partial 16S ribosomal RNA". It matches the Rfam family "Bacterial small subunit ribosomal RNA", at positions 87 to 354 of the family's 1533-position model. The record is from RNAcentral.